This 253-nucleotide ribosomal RNA is filed under the name uncultured bacterium. RNAcentral's name for it is "partial 16S ribosomal RNA". It matches the Rfam family "Bacterial small subunit ribosomal RNA", at positions 524 to 776 of the family's 1533-position model. The record is from RNAcentral.
UACGGAGGGUGCAAGCGUUACUCGGAAUUACUGGGCGUAAAGCGCGUGUAGGCGGUUUCGUAAGUCUGGUGUGAAAUCCCGGGGCUCAACCCCGGAAGUGCAUUGGAUACUGCGGAACUAGAGUAUGGGAGAGGAUGGCGGAAUUCCAGGUGUAGAGGUGAAAUUCGUAGAUAUCUGGAGGAACAUCAGAGGCGAAGGCGGCCAUCUGGACCAUUACUGACGCUGAGACGCGAAAGCGUGGGGAGCAAACAGG